CUGGUGUCUGGGAGAAAUGUAUCUUCAGAGAAGAGUGAACCAGUGAAUAUAACGGUAGUGGCUGAGCACAUUCGUGAGUGGAUUCCGGUUUUACCAGCGGUGAAUUUGAGCCUCCUGAUUACUGCGACGGGAAUCUACUGGUGGAAGAUCGGGAAUUUCAGAAGACGUUGAUGAAUGAGAUGAAAUCCAAAUU
Molecule: long non-coding RNA, 193 nt
Organism: Pristis pectinata (smalltooth sawfish)
Lineage: Eukaryota; Metazoa; Chordata; Chondrichthyes; Rhinopristiformes; Pristidae
Exons: 3
Source: RefSeq, a predicted model, not a curated record